Molecule: long non-coding RNA, 107 nt
Organism: Xiphophorus couchianus (Monterrey platyfish)
Lineage: Eukaryota; Metazoa; Chordata; Actinopteri; Cyprinodontiformes; Poeciliidae
Exons: 3
Source: RefSeq, a predicted model, not a curated record
UUGAGCUUAUGUUGGUUAAUGCGACUUUUUAUUACUCGUUGUGUAGAUCAUGGACUAUAAUCUGAUAUCAAUUAAGGUUGAGGCAGUUGUUUAAGACAAGCAAGAAA